GCCACCGUAGCUCAGUUGGUAGAGCAACGCAUUCGUAAUGCGUGGGUCGCUGGUUCAAAUCCAGUCGGUGGCUCAA
This 76-nucleotide transfer RNA is filed under the name Fidelibacterota bacterium. RNAcentral describes it as "tRNA-Thr". It matches the Rfam family "tRNA". Rfam says of the family: Transfer RNA (tRNA) molecules are approximately 80 nucleotides in length. Their secondary structure includes four short double-helical elements and three loops (D, anti-codon, and T loops). The record is from RNAcentral. Lineage: Bacteria; Pseudomonadati; Fidelibacterota. RNAcentral also lists the same sequence under 1 other name.